Long non-coding RNA from Danaus plexippus (monarch butterfly), 340 nucleotides. RefSeq lists it as uncharacterized. NCBI's taxonomy places the organism in Eukaryota, Metazoa, Arthropoda, Insecta, Lepidoptera, Nymphalidae. The transcript is spliced from 2 exons. The record is from RefSeq and is a predicted model, not a curated record.
UUGUUUUUUGUUUAAUAUGAGCGUUUAUGAUUCCUUAAGAUUGCGUUCACAUUAAGUUACACGCCUCGUAGUGUUUUAUUACUUUAUAUGAUGACAGCAUAGUUACUAGACAACAUAAUGACAGUCCUAACAAGCUCAACAGGCCUGAGUGCUCCCAACACAUUGUAUAUAAACUUGACAAAUACGAGUUGUAUUCAUUGUAUUAUUUUGUCUUUUCAGAUUGAUGUCACUCGAUACAUCCUCAAUUCCGAGGUUCUCUUCAAUACGAGUGCGGAUUAACAGAACACAAAAUUUUAAUGUAAACGUCAAAAAAGAGAAGAAAUAAAUAAUUUAAGAAAAA